This 93-nucleotide microRNA precursor is filed under the name Octodon degus (degu). RNAcentral's name for it is "microRNA 770 (ENSODEG00000021894.1)". It matches the Rfam family "mir-770 microRNA precursor family". Lineage: Eukaryota; Metazoa; Chordata; Mammalia; Rodentia; Octodontidae. The record is from RNAcentral.
GCCACCUUCUGUGCCCCCAGCGCCACGUUCUGGGCCACGUGAGCUGAGCCACGUGGGCCUCACGUGGAGCUAGGGCCACAGGGGUCUGCAGGC